This is a long non-coding RNA of Salarias fasciatus (jewelled blenny), 611 nucleotides long. RefSeq lists it as uncharacterized. Lineage: Eukaryota; Metazoa; Chordata; Actinopteri; Blenniiformes; Blenniidae. The record is from RefSeq and is a predicted model, not a curated record. The transcript has 3 exons.
CCAGACGCAGAGAUGACUUUGAUUCUUCAACCACAUGGAGUGAAGCCUUCACAGUGUCAGUGUUACCUCAACCAAAAGCUCAACUGGGAACCAAUAAAUUCAACAUGUCUGAAGGCAGCAGAGUGACGCUGACCUGCUCAGUGAAUCAACCAGCUGGAUGGAAAUACUUCUGGUACAGAGACUCCAAAACCUCCCUCCUGACAAAAUAUGACACUAGUAUGUAUUGGAAUCAGUCUGAAGUCUCACAGGAGGGACGUUACUGGUGCAGAGGAGGAAGAGGAGGAAGAGGAAGAAGAGGAGAUCCACUUUACUACACAGAGUACAGUGAUCCCAUCAGUGUCACUAAAAUAAUCCCAAACAAGGCAACCCUGACUCUGCAACACGACAGACCACAGCUCUACCAAGGAGAGACCAUCGCUCUCAGAUGUGCCAUCGAUGGAGGAAACACAGGAUGGGAGUAUGAGUGGGAAACCAGCAGUUUACUCAAACCAGCAAAUGUCAGCCAAUACAGGAUGGAGGCUCUUUCUUCACAGCACCAGGGAGAAUACAGAUGUAAAGGAAACAAGCUGAGAGGAGCACAGUCAACAGAUUGGAGCAACACCGUCACACUG